RNAcentral lists this long non-coding RNA (429 nucleotides) under Physcomitrium patens. Its description in RNAcentral is "long non-coding RNA (PPAT_LNC001611)". Lineage: Eukaryota; Viridiplantae; Streptophyta; Bryopsida; Funariales; Funariaceae. The record is from RNAcentral.
UUUCUUUCAGUUAACAGCCUCAAGAUUUAUACCGGAAUGUUAACAAAAUUUUCCGUGAGUAUUCUUCGAAGUUUUUCUAACGGUACAUACGAUUGCAGAAUUAACAAUUUGUCCGAUUUUUGAUAUGUUUGGAUGCAUCGACAAACUUGCAACUAUGGUUUAAUCCAAUUCUGUCAAUGCUUCCUUUUAAAAUUACAUUCUCGCUCCUUUCUACCUUAUUCUAGAAGAAACCUCCCAACAUAAACCCGUAUAAGGAGAUUCAAACAUGCGAAAUGACUAGUUGCUUAAGCGUUCAAGUUAGAGUCACACAAUCAAUUACCUCCUGAAUGUAUCGUCUCUAUUUUCAAUAUCUGAACACACAAGAAAACUAUAAUUUCCUCCUUCACUUUAUCGGGCUCUUCCUUACAAAAAUUUAGUCAUACUAAUAAC